CUGCCGCCAUUUUGUGGAGCCGAGCAGGCCCGGCGGCGGCCUGGCCCGUCAGGCCUAGGGAGGCGGGACGCGGCGGCGCAGGUUGGAAUAGCUCAUAAUUAACAUUAUUAUCUGCAAAUGCAGUGGAAGAUGGCAAGACUGAAGAUGGGCAGGGUAUUCUACAACUUAAUGUACGAGGAUGUUUAUACACUGCCAGGCGCGAGUCUUUAUGCCGCUUUAAGGAUUCAGUGCUAGCUUCCAUGUUUAGUGGACGCUUUCCUCUGAAAAUGGAUGAAUCUGGUAACUAUGUUCAAGCUACACAUAAAACAUUCUGACUGGAGAGCUCAUUUCUUUUUAAAUUUUCCAAACUUGUCUUCAUUUUGUGUCCUUGUUUGUUAUGGUCGGGUUUUUUGUUGUUGGUACUGCUGUUGAAACAAAGUAAAUACAGCUGGCCUCAAGUGUUGAGAAGUCCUAUCACAUUGCCAAAAUGAAAUGUUCUUAAAAUUCCUGAGACUAUUAGAAUUACGGGAGGGUUAUUUAAGUGUUUUAUUUUUACAGUCAUUUAGAAUAAAUCACAGUUCCAGGCUUUUCAUCAUAA
This is a long non-coding RNA of Oxyura jamaicensis (ruddy duck), 577 nucleotides long. RefSeq lists it as uncharacterized. The transcript has 2 exons. NCBI's taxonomy places the organism in Eukaryota, Metazoa, Chordata, Aves, Anseriformes, Anatidae. The record is from RefSeq and is a predicted model, not a curated record.